Molecule: ribosomal RNA, 252 nt
Filed under: uncultured bacterium
Lineage: Bacteria
Description: partial 16S ribosomal RNA
Rfam family: Bacterial small subunit ribosomal RNA
Source: RNAcentral
UACAGGGGGUGCAAACGUUGCUCGGAAUCAUUGGGCGUAAAGCGCACGUAGGCGGUUCGUUAUGUCGGAUGUGAAAGCCCUUGGCUUAACCGAGGAAGUGCAUCCGAAACUGGCGAGCUAGAGUACUAAAGAGGAUCGCGGAAUUCCCGGUGUAGAGGUGAAAUUCGUAGAUAUCGGGAGGAACACCGGUGGCGAAGGCGGCGAUCUGGGUAGAUACUGACGCUGAGGUGCGAAAGCGUGGGGAGCAAACAG